UGUGGCAUGAUUUACAGAUACCGGGAGUGGGAGGAGGGUAUCCACAACUUUGAUGACUUUGAUUAAAAGUUUUGCUUUAUUGAGUGAAGUUUGAGCAUUUAAUAUUCAGCUAUUGUUGUCUUUUUACAGGAUAAUGCAGCCAGUCUACAGUGGAUUAUUCUCCCAGUGUCCCUACCUGGACAUUGGACACUCACACUGUGUAUACCUUUAUAUUUUCUUCCUAUUUUUUCUUUACACAACAAGUUGCUCAUUGCUGAAUUGAAUGUUUUUCUAUAAUUAAAUGCAGGUCAGCUCUGUUGGGCAUCCAGGAACAUUACACAACUCACUGCAACUGGUUAUAUUUGAAUUUGAAUAUUUAACUGAUACUGAGGCCACAGGCUAGGGAGAUUUUCUUCCUAGAUUCCCUCUGGGGCAGCGGUUGGAGAGAUGAGAGUAGAACCAGUCUGUUCAGGUUUUUAGGUCACCUCACAUAAUCCUUUCUGGACAGUGGUAGUUCUGUUUUAAACCACCACCUUUUGUUUGUUUUGUUUCUUUUUUUAUUUGAUCUAAAAUAUUCCAUUCCAUAUUCCAACUAUUUUGAUUCCAUAAACAGAUGGAAACAGAACUAUUUAUCUUUUUUGAGACGGGCAGUUCUGUUUAAGCCCGUUAUGAAAACUUUUUUAUUUGAAGUUCCAACCUCUUCCUUAUUGAGUCCAAGCUUUGUUCCAAGCGUUUAUGCAUGCUUUUCAAUCAAAAGUUGAUUGAAGUAGAGUUACUUUCAUUUACUUUGCUUGUUAUUUGUACAGACACGUUGCCCACAGCCUCUCUUCUGGCCCCUGGAAGAGCUUAGUGUGAAUGAUGUCCAGGUGAGACAUUACAUAAUAGCAUUUGCUAACUUUUUACUGUUUUCUCGCCAUACCUUUAUUAAAAUACAUUGUUCACACCUCAGGGCCUAACAAAGCAAGAGUGCUCCAACAACUGUGGCCGUGUUUGUUUUGAUGUACACUCUGUACAUUGUAAUGGGGGCCAAUUGUGAUUUCAGAGAGGAAAACAUGCUGCAAAUUAGGAGAUGGGGGUGUCUCGCUCUCCUGCAGAACUUCCCCAUGUCGUAAGAGCCCUGAAUAUCGCACGUUUGAAUCAAAUCACAAAAAAACAGUUUUACUCACUGUCAACAGACCAACAUGAAUGUUUUCAAAGUGAAUGUAUGU
Long non-coding RNA from Gadus morhua (Atlantic cod), 1187 nucleotides. RefSeq lists it as uncharacterized. The transcript has 3 exons. The record is from RefSeq and is a predicted model, not a curated record. NCBI's taxonomy places the organism in Eukaryota, Metazoa, Chordata, Actinopteri, Gadiformes, Gadidae.